CCUCCGGGAGGCAGCAGUGAGGAAUAUUGGUCAAUGGGCGCAAGCCUGAACGAGCAAUGCCGCGUGAACGAGGAAGGUCUUCGGAUCGUAAAGUUCUGUUGAAGGGGAAAAAGAGCGGAGAGAGGAAAUGGUCUCCGAUUGAUAUUACCCUUCGAGGAAGUCACGGCUAACUACGUGCCAGCAGCCGCGGUAAUACGUGAGUGGCGAGCGUUAUCCGGAAUGAUUGGGCGUAAGGGGUGCGUAGGCGGCCUGCUAAGUCUGGAGUGAAAGGUACCGGCUCAACCGGUAUAGGCUCUGGAAACGGGCGGGCUAGAGAGAAGGAGAGGGCGGUGGAACUCCAUGUGUAGCGGUAAAAUGCGUAGAUAUAUGGAAGAACACCAGUGGCGAAGGCGGCCGCCUGGCCUGUUACUGACGCUGAGGCACGAAAGCGUGGGGAGCAAAUAGGAUUAGAUACCCCAGUAGUC
This 464-nucleotide ribosomal RNA is filed under the name uncultured bacterium. RNAcentral's name for it is "partial 16S ribosomal RNA". It matches the Rfam family "Bacterial small subunit ribosomal RNA", at positions 338 to 795 of the family's 1533-position model. The record is from RNAcentral.